Molecule: ribosomal RNA, 497 nt
Filed under: uncultured bacterium
Lineage: Bacteria
Description: partial 16S ribosomal RNA
Rfam family: Bacterial small subunit ribosomal RNA
Source: RNAcentral
GAUGAACGCUGGCGGCGUGCCUAAUACAUGCAAGUCGAGCGAACGGACGAGAAGCUUGCUUCUCUGAUGUUAGCGGCGGACGGGUGAGUAACACGUGGAUAACCUACCUAUAAGACUGGGAUAACUUCGGGAAACCGGAGCUAAUACCGGAUAAUAUUUUGAACCGCAUGGUUCAAAAGUGAAAGACGGUCUUGCUGUCACUUAUAGAUGGAUCCGCGCUGCAUUAGCUAGUUGGUAAGGUAACGGGUUACCGAGGCAACGAUGCAUAGCCGACCUGAGAGGGUGAUCGGCCACACUGGAACUGAGACACGGUCCAGACUCCUACGGGAGGCAGCAGUAGGGAAUCUUCCGCAAUGGGCGAAAGCCUGACGGAGCAACGCCGCGUGAGUGAUGAAGGUCUUCGGAUCGUAAAACUCUGUUAUUAGGGAAGAACAUAUGUGUAAGUAACUGUGCACAUCUUGACGGUACCUAAUCAGAAAGCCACGGCUAACUACGUG